GGGUUGUGAGGUUAAGCGACUAAGCGUACACGGUGGAUGCCCUGGCAGUCAGAGGCGAUGAAGGACGUGCUAAUCUGCGAAAAGCGUCGGUAAGGUGAUAUGAACCGUUAUAACCGGCGAUGUCCGAAUGGGGAAACCCAGUGUGAUUCGUCACACUAUCGUUAACUGAAUACAUAGGUUAACGAGGCGAACCGGGGGAACUGAAACAUCUAAGUACCCCGAGGAAAAGAAAUCAACCGAGAUUCCCCCAGUAGCGGCGAGCGAACGGGGAGCAGCCCAGAGUCUGAAUCAGCUUGUGUGUUAGUGGAACGGUCUGGAAAGUCCGACGGUACAGGGUGAUAGUCCCGUACACCAAAAUGCACAGGCUGUGAACUCGAAGAGUAGGGCGGGACACGUGGUAUCCUGUCUGAAUAUGGGGGGACCAUCCUCCAAGGCUAAAUACUCCUGACUGACCGAUAGUGAACCAGUACCGUGAGGGAAAGGCGAAAAGAACCCCGGCGAGGGGAGUGAAAAAGAACCUGAAACCGUGUACGUACAAGCAGUGGGAGCACCUUCGGGUGUGACUGCGUACCUUUUGUAUAAUGGGUCAGCGACUUAUAUUCUGUAGCAAGGUUAACCGUAUAGGGGAGCCGCAGGGAAACCGAGUCUUAACUGGGCGUUAAGUUGCAGGGUAUAGACCCGAAACCCGGUGAUCUAGCCAUGGGCAGGUUGAAGGUUGGGUAACACUAACUGGAGGACCGAACCGACUAAUGUUGAAAAAUUAGCGGAUGACUUGUGGCUGGGGGUGAAAGGCCAAUCAAACCGGGAGAUAGCUGGUUCUCCCCGAAAGCUAUUUAGGUAGCGCCUCGUGAACUCAUCUUCGGGGGUAGAGCACUGUUUCGGCUAGGGGGUCAUCCCGACUUACCAACCCGAUGCAAACUACGAAUACCGAAGAAUGUUAUCACGGGAGACACACGGCGGGUGCUAACGUCCGUCGUGAAGAGGGAAACAACCCAGACCGCCAGCUAAGGUCCCAAAGUCAUGGUUAAGUGGGAAACGAUGUGGGAAGGCACAGACAGCCAGGAUGUUGGCUUAGAAGCAGCCAUCAUUUAAAGAAAGCGUAAUAGCUCACUGGUCGAGUCGGCCUGCGCGGAAGAUGUAACGGGGCUAAACCAUGCACCGAAGCUGCGGCAGCGACACUAUGUGUUGUUGGGUAGGGGAGCGUUCUGUAAGCCUGCGAAGGUGUGCUGUGAGGCAUGCUGGAGGUAUCAGAAGUGCGAAUGCUGACAUAAGUAACGAUAAAGCGGGUGAAAAGCCCGCUCGCCGGAAGACCAAGGGUUCCUGUCCAACGUUAAUCGGGGCAGGGUGAGUCGACCCCUAAGGCGAGGCCGAAAGGCGUAGUCGAUGGGAAACAGGUUAAUAUUCCUGUACUUGGUGUUACUGCGAAGGGGGGACGGAGAAGGCUAUGUUAGCCGGGCGACGGUUGUCCCGGUUUAAGCAUGUAGGCUGGUUGUCCAGGCAAAUCCGGAUAAUCAAGGCUGAGGUGUGAUGACGAGGCACUACGGUGCUGAAGUAACAAAUGCCCUGCUUCCAGGAAAAGCCUCUAAGCAUCAGGUAACAUUAAAUCGUACCCCAAACCGACACAGGUGGUCAGGUAGAGAAUACCAAGGCGCUUGAGAGAACUCGGGUGAAGGAACUAGGCAAAAUGGUGCCGUAACUUCGGGAGAAGGCACGCUGGUGUGUAGGUGAAGUCCCUGCGGAUGGAGCUGAGACCAGUCGAAGAUACCAGCUGGCUGCAACUGUUUAUUAAAAACACAGCACUGUGCAAACACGAAAGUGGACGUAUACGGUGUGACGCCUGCCCGGUGCCGGAAGGUUAAUUGAUGGGGUUAUCCGUAAGGAGAAGCUCUUGAUCGAAGCCCCGGUAAACGGCGGCCGUAACUAUAACGGUCCUAAGGUAGCGAAAUUCCUUGUCGGGUAAGUUCCGACCUGCACGAAUGGCGUAAUGAUGGCCAGGCUGUCUCCACCCGAGACUCAGUGAAAUUGAACUCGCUGUGAAGAUGCAGUGUACCCGCGGCAAGACGGAAAGACCCCGUGAACCUUUACUAUAGCUUGACACUGAACAUUGAGCCUUGAUGUGUAGGAUAGGUGGGAGGCUUUGAAGCGUGGACGCCAGUCUGCGUGGAGCCAACCUUGAAAUACCACCCUUUAAUGUUUGAUGUUCUAACGUUGGCCCCUGACCGGGGUUGCGGACAGUGUCUGGUGGGUAGUUUGACUGGGGCGGUCUCCUCCCAAAGCGUAACGGAGGAGCACGAAGGUUAGCUAAUCCUGGUCGGACAUCAGGAGGUUAGUGCAAUGGCAUAAGCUAGCUUGACUGCGAGCGUGACGGCGCGAGCAGGUGCGAAAGCAGGUCAUAGUGAUCCGGUGGUUCUGAAUGGAAGGGCCAUCGCUCAACGGAUAAAAGGUACUCCGGGGAUAACAGGCUGAUACCGCCCAAGAGUUCAUAUCGACGGCGGUGUUUGGCACCUCGAUGUCGGCUCAUCACAUCCUGGGGCUGAAGUAGGUCCCAAGGGUAUGGCUGUUCGCCAUUUAAAGUGGUACGCGAGCUGGGUUUAGAACGUCGUGAGACAGUUCGGUCCCUAUCUGCCGUGGGCGCUGGAGAAUUGAGGGGGGCUGCUCCUAGUACGAGAGGACCGGAGUGGACGCAUCACUGGUGUUCGGGUUGUCAUGCCAAUGGCACUGCCCGGUAGCUAAAUGCGGAAGAGAUAAGUGCUGAAAGCAUCUAAGCACGAAACUUGCCCCGAGAUGAGUUCUCCCUGAGACUUUAAGUCUCCUGAAGGAACGUUGAAGACGACGACGUUGAUAGGCCGGGUGUGUAAGCGCAGCGAUGCGUUGAGCUAACCGGUACUAAUGAACCGUGAGGCUUAACCUUACAACGCCGAAG
This 2923-nucleotide ribosomal RNA is filed under the name Klebsiella pneumoniae. RNAcentral's name for it is "23S ribosomal RNA". It matches the Rfam family "Bacterial large subunit ribosomal RNA". RNAcentral also lists the same sequence under 1 other name. Lineage: Bacteria; Pseudomonadati; Pseudomonadota; Gammaproteobacteria; Enterobacterales; Enterobacteriaceae. The record is from RNAcentral.